GACGAACGCUGGCGGCGUGCCUAAUACAUGCAAGUCGAACGCUUCUUUCCUCCCGAGUGCUUGCACUCAAUUGGAAAGAGGAGUGGCGGACGGGUGAGUAACACGUGGGUAACCUACCCAUCAGAGGGGGAUAACACUUGGAAACAGGUGCUAAUACCGCAUAACAGUUUAUGCCGCAUGGCAUAAGAGUGAAAGGCGCUUUCGGGUGUCGCUGACGGAUGGACCCGCGGUGCAUUAGCUAGUUGGUGAGGUAACGGCUCACCAAGGCCACGAUGCAUAGCCGACCUGAGAGGGUGAUCGGCCACACUGGGACUGAGACACGGCCCAGACUCCUACGGGAGGCAGCAGUAGGGAAUCUUCGGCAAUGGACGAAAGUCUGACCGAGCAACGCCGCGUGAGUGAAGAAGGUUUUCGGAUCGUAAAACUCUGUUGUUAGAGAAGAACAAGGACGUUAGUAA
RNAcentral lists this ribosomal RNA (458 nucleotides) under Enterococcus faecalis. RNAcentral's name for it is "bacterial SSU rRNA". It matches the Rfam family "Bacterial small subunit ribosomal RNA", at positions 28 to 464 of the family's 1533-position model. Lineage: Bacteria; Bacillati; Bacillota; Bacilli; Lactobacillales; Enterococcaceae. The record is from RNAcentral.